GUCGGAUUAGCUAGUUGGUGAGGUAAUGGCUCACCAAGGCAGCGAUCCGUAGCUGGUCUGAGAGGAUGAUCAGCCACAUCGGGACUGAGACACGGCCCGAACUCCUACGGGAGGCAGCAGUGGGGAAUAUUGGACAAUGGGGGCAACCCUGAUCCAGCCAUGCCGCGUGUGUGAAGAAGGCCCUCGGGUUGUAAAGCACUUUCAGCGAGGAAGAACGCCUAGUGGUUAAUACCCAUUAGGAAAGACAUCACUCGCAGAAGAAGCACCGGCUAACUCCGUGCCAGCAGCCGCGGUAAUACGGAGGGUGCAAGCGUUAAUCGGAAUUACUGGGCGUGAAGCGCGCGUAGGUGGCUUGAUAAGCCGGUUGUGAAAGCCCCGGGCUCAACCUGGGAACGGCAUCCGGAACUGUCAGGCUAGAGUGCAGGAGAGGAAGGUAGAAUUCCCGGUGUAGCGGUGAAAUGCGUAGAGAUCGGGAGGAAUACCAGUGGCGAAGGCGGCCUUCUGGACUGACACUGACACUGAGGUGCGAAAGCGUGGGUAGCAAACAGGAUUAGAUACCCUGGUAGUCCACGCCGUAAACGAUGUCGACCAGCCGUUGGGUGCCUAGCGCACUUUGUGGCGAAGUUAACGCGAUAAGUCGACCGCCUGGGGAGUACGGCCGCAAGGUUAAAACUCAAAUGAAUUGACGGGGGCCCGCACAAGCGGUGGAGCAUGUGGUUUAAUUCGAUGCAACGCGAAGAACCUUACCUACCCUUGACAUCGACAGAAGCCGAGAGAGAUCUUGGUGUGCCUUCGGGAACUGUCAGACAGGUGCUGCAUGGCUGUCGUCAGCUCGUGUUGUGAAAUGUUGGGUUAAGUCCCGUAACGAGCGCAACCCUUGUCCUUAUUUGCCAGCGCGUAAUGGCGGGAACUCUAAGGAGACUGCCGGUGACAAACCGGAGGAAGGUGGGGACGACGUCAAGUCAUCAUGGCCCUUACGGGUAGGGCUACACACGUGCUACAAUGGCCGGUACAAAGGGCAGCGAGCUCGCGAGAGUCAGCGAAUCCCUUAAAGCCGGUCUCAGUCCGGAUCGGAGUCUGCAACUCGACUCCGGAAGUCGGAAUCGCUAGUAAUCGGAAUCAGAA
Molecule: ribosomal RNA, 1125 nt
Filed under: uncultured bacterium
Lineage: Bacteria
Description: bacterial SSU rRNA
Rfam family: Bacterial small subunit ribosomal RNA
Source: RNAcentral